GAUGAACGCUGGCGGCGUGCCUAACACAUGCAAGUCGAACGGAGAUUACGGACGGAAGUUUUCGGAUGGAAGACUGUAAUUCUUAGUGGCGGACGGGUGAGUAACGCGUGGGCAACCUGCCCUAUACAGGGGGAUAGCAGCUGGAAACGGCUGGUAAGACCGCAUAAGUCGGUUAAAUCGCAUGAUUUGAUCGGGAAAUGAGCAAUCAGGUAUAGGAUGGGCCCGCGUCCGAUUAGCCAGUUGGCAGGGUAAAAGCCUACCAAAGCGACGAUCGGUAGCCGGACUGAGAGGUCGGACGGCCACAUUGGGACUGAGACACGGCCCAAACUCCUACGGGAGGCAGCAGUGGGGGAUAUUGCACAAUGGAGGAAACUCUGAUGCAGCGACGCCGCGUGAGUGAAGAAGUAUUUCGGUAUGUAAAGCUCUAUCAGCAGGGAAGAUGAUGACGGUACCUGACGAAGAAGCCCCGGCUAACUACGUG
Molecule: ribosomal RNA, 481 nt
Filed under: uncultured bacterium
Lineage: Bacteria
Description: partial 16S ribosomal RNA
Rfam family: Bacterial small subunit ribosomal RNA
Source: RNAcentral